AGGAGGAGGAGGAGAGGACAGGAGAGGAGAGAGACUGCUCCAGUAAGCAUUAUCCCUCUAUGGUUUCUGUUUCAUUUCCUGCUUGAGGUCCUGCUCUGACUUCUCUCAACCACAGACUGUGACCUGGAAGGCCUACAGGACAUCCCUCAUCAGACUGAUGAACAUAUGAAACAAAGAAACCGUGAUAGCAUGCACAAGAAAGACCUACGUAAUUUCAAGUCAGACAAAAUCCUGAUGAACAUUAACAAGGAAGCAAACAAAUAGAGACAAGACAAAACCUCCAAAUACUUGGGCUACAUCUGGAGGGGUAAGAAUUUGAAGCAUCUGUACAGAGAGAAGGACUGUGCCGAGUGGGGCAUCAAGGUCUCCAUGUUUCAUGAUUGCUCUCACGUGGGGAUGCCACAGACCUCACAGCGGUAGCAGUGCACAUGGAAAUCACGAUCCAGAGCCACGAUGCGGACGGUCUCCUCCUGGCCUGGGGCAGGCAUGAUAGGCUCC
Molecule: non-coding RNA, 498 nt
Organism: Cricetulus griseus (Chinese hamster)
Lineage: Eukaryota; Metazoa; Chordata; Mammalia; Rodentia; Cricetidae
Source: RefSeq, a predicted model, not a curated record